Molecule: ribosomal RNA, 351 nt
Filed under: Triticum aestivum (bread wheat)
Lineage: Eukaryota; Viridiplantae; Streptophyta; Magnoliopsida; Poales; Poaceae
Description: partial small subunit ribosomal RNA
Source: RNAcentral
AUGCGCCCAUGCAUGUUUCCGUUCCCAUUACCAGUCUUUAUUUCUUCACAGUAUCUACUUCCCCAACUGUAUUUUUCUGUGGCUUGCCUUGGAAGGUACAUUCUAGGCAGAAAUACUCAAAUCCAAAUCAUGAAACAUGCUUUUUUAGUGCGUCCGAUCACACAAAACAUGCUGUUGCUUGCUAUUGGCAUUUGUGUUACUUUGGCUCCUGUCUCCUAUUCUUCUUAUAUUGCCUUCUUGGGCUUCAUUUUGGAAUUUGGGAUGUGGGUCCUUUGUCAUUCAUGCGAUUCACGCUUUCUGAUUAUGAAUUUUAUCUUUCUGGUCAAUUCAAGAGAGACUAAACGUAAAUGA